UACGGGGGGGGCAAGCGUUGUUCGGAAUUACUGGGCGUAAAGGGCGCGUAGGCGGCUUUGCAAGUGACGGGUGAAAUCCCUCGGCUUAACCGAGGAACUGCCUGUCAGACUGCAUGGCUUGAGACCAGGAGAGGUGAGUGGAAUUCCCAGUGUAGCGGUGAAAUGCGUAGAUAUUGGGAGGAACACCAGUGGCGAAGGCGGCUCACUGGACUGGUACUGACGCUGAGGCGCGAAAGCGUGGGGAGCAAACAGG
Molecule: ribosomal RNA, 253 nt
Filed under: uncultured bacterium
Lineage: Bacteria
Description: partial 16S ribosomal RNA
Rfam family: Bacterial small subunit ribosomal RNA
Source: RNAcentral